RNAcentral lists this ribosomal RNA (118 nucleotides) under Helianthus annuus (common sunflower). Lineage: Eukaryota; Viridiplantae; Streptophyta; Magnoliopsida; Asterales; Asteraceae. The record is from RNAcentral.
GGUGGCGAUCAUACCAGCACUAAUGCACCGGAUCCCAUCAGAACUCCGCAGUUAAGCGUGCUUGGGCGAGAGUAGUACUAGGAUGGGUGACCCCUGGGAAGUCCUCGUGUUGCAACCC